CUUUUACUCAGGGUUCUAUUAGUCCGCUAAAUUACGCAUCAGUUUUGCAUUGCCAGAGGUUACCAAUACCAGUGCAUAAUAGGUAUUCAAAGGAAAAGUGAGGAGCAAAUGAAGAAAGCUAAGUAAACUUUACAUAGUUGAUUUCAGCUCAUUGGCUGGUCCAAACUUGGAUGAUCAGAUGAAAGUCCAGCUGAUAGAUAGAUCUCAUUUCAACCUGGAAAAUAACAAAAAAGGCAGUUAGAGGUGGCAGAACACCUUGGAAAACUUACAAAACUGCUACAAAAAGUGCGUGCUUGGCAGGGUCAGGAGGUUGAGGCAGUCCAGGUGUGGGUUCAGCGAUCCAUGUGCUCCUGUGAGAGUUCAUGCUCAGUCUUUCAGAGGCUACCAGGGCUAAAACACCACUCCAGCCUUUGCUGUUUGUUGACUGUUUACA
Molecule: long non-coding RNA, 433 nt
Organism: Cyprinus carpio carpio
Lineage: Eukaryota; Metazoa; Chordata; Actinopteri; Cypriniformes; Cyprinidae
Source: Ensembl